UCAAAUAAAUUACUGUACUAAGCUGUAGACGUAUCCGUUAAGGGCAAACACGAGGCAACUGGUGGUUGUCCCGAGUCGGGUUCAGAGGCGUUCAUACGUCAAGGCACAAAGCUCGUACGGCCCUCCGAUUCUGUAUCGGUACACUGAGACGGUAUAGAAGGUUUCGAUAAAUAUUUCUUUCCCUUGUGAAAUCCCAUCCAAGGUGACGUAUAUAUAGUGCGAUCGAAAUAAACCAGUAAAGAAGGGGUUGGUCGCGUGAGGUAACGAUUCUCCCAAACAAAGUAGUGUAGUAACCUCGAGACGUAUGUGUCAAGGGUCAAACACGGGGCAACUGGUGGAUGUCCCGAGUCGGGUUAAGAGGAGAUC
Molecule: ribosomal RNA, 366 nt
Filed under: Triticum aestivum (bread wheat)
Lineage: Eukaryota; Viridiplantae; Streptophyta; Magnoliopsida; Poales; Poaceae
Description: partial small subunit ribosomal RNA
Source: RNAcentral